Ixodes scapularis (black-legged tick) is the source of this 82-nucleotide non-coding RNA. Lineage: Eukaryota; Metazoa; Arthropoda; Arachnida; Ixodida; Ixodidae. The record is from Rfam.
GCAGUCGUGGCCGGGUGGUUAAGGCAAUGGACUAGAAAUCCAUUGGGGUCUCUUUGCACAGGUUCAAAUCCUGUCGACUGCG